AACGAACGCUGGCGGCGCGCCUAAUACAUGCAAGUCGAGCGAGAAGGUGUAGCAAUACACUUGUAAAGCGGCGAACGGGUGAGGAAUGCAUGGGUAACCUACCCUCGAGUGGGGAAUAACUAGCCGAAAGGUUAGCUAAUACCGCAUACGUUUCCGGAACUUCGGUUUCGGAAAGAAAGCAAUACCGUGGGUAUUGCGCUCCUGGAUGGGCUCAUGUCCUAUCAGCUUGUUGGUGAGGUAACGGCUCACCAAGGCUUCGACGGGUAGCUGGUCUGAGAGGACGAUCAGCCACACUGGCACUGCGACACGGGCCAGACUCCUACGGGAGGCAGCAGUAAGGAAUAUUGCGCAAUGGACGAAAGUCUGACGCAGCGACGCCGCGUGGGGGAUGAAGGUCUUCGGGAUUGUAAACCCCUUUCGGGAGGGAAGAUGGAGUGGGUAACCACUUGGACGGUACCUCCAGAAGCAGCACGGCUAACUCGUGCCAGCAGCCGCGGUAAU
This 501-nucleotide ribosomal RNA is filed under the name uncultured bacterium. RNAcentral's name for it is "bacterial SSU rRNA". It matches the Rfam family "Bacterial small subunit ribosomal RNA", at positions 29 to 524 of the family's 1533-position model. The record is from RNAcentral.